UUUCAUAUCGGGCCUAGUUUCGUCUCCAGACGAAAACGGGGGAACCAUCUUUGGGGUUAAUUCUGUGCAAGCAGAAGGGAUGCUAACUGCCAUCCUACCCGUCAGCUAACCUCGUCGGCUAAAGCAGAAAUUUG
This 134-nucleotide small RNA is filed under the name Brevibacillus panacihumi. RNAcentral's name for it is "c-di-AMP sequence". It matches the Rfam family "c-di-AMP riboswitch aptamer (ydaO/yuaA leader)". Rfam says of the family: This family represents a conserved RNA structure found upstream of the ydaO and yuaA genes in Bacillus subtilis and related genes in other bacteria. The record is from RNAcentral. RNAcentral also lists the same sequence under 1 other name. Lineage: Bacteria; Bacillati; Bacillota; Bacilli; Caryophanales; Paenibacillaceae.